UACAGAGGAGCCAAGCGUUGUCCGGAUUGACUGGGCGUAAAGCGCACGCAGGCGGCACCGCGCGUGGGGUGUGAAAUCUGGCCGCUUAACGGCCAGGCGCCAUCCCAUACGGCGGAGCUGGAGUGAUGCAGAGGUCGAUGGAAUUGCCGGUGUAGUGGUGAAAUGCGUAGAUAUCGGGAGGAACACCUGUGGCGAAAGCGGCGCACUGGACCACAACUGACGCUGAGGCGCGAAAGCUAGGGGAGCAAACAGG
RNAcentral lists this ribosomal RNA (253 nucleotides) under uncultured bacterium. Its description in RNAcentral is "partial 16S ribosomal RNA". It matches the Rfam family "Bacterial small subunit ribosomal RNA", at positions 524 to 776 of the family's 1533-position model. The record is from RNAcentral.